CGUGUGCCCCCAACUGACUAAGAAGGUAUAGGGCUACGAACCCUUACUUUUUAGGAUGCAACUCCGAUAUUAAUUCUCGUCUUAAUCAACUAUCAACAAACUGUCCUGAGCCUAAAAAUUGGAUAGGAAGAGGGGUGAGAUUACAAAAAUCCCAGUGAGUAAACAAUUACCAUCAAAAGCAUCUAAAGCCGAGUAAAUGAAGACAAUAUAAAAACGUUAUAUCUCAAUAAUGUUCAUAAUGCAAAAUUCGUUUUAAUCUAUACCAAACAAUUUCUUUUCAUCAAAAUUUCCCGGCUUAUGAAUUUUUUAAACUUGGCCCCUACCAAAAUCCUUCUCGUUGGUACCUUCGUCAAGGUAUCCCACUGAGACCGCCAAGGCUGUUAAAUGUCUCAUACCCAUAAACAUGUUUUCGCAUCUGACACACAACCGUUCCUUGGCGUUGGCUGAGUCUCACUUUCACGUGGUGGCCCGAACGUGAGGUGCACUCAAAUCUUACCUCAGGAGAUACUUCAUCCAACAUCUCCUCCCAGAGGUAGUUAUAUAAUUGGGUUACCGUGCCCCUCUCAUAGACAGUCUAGGGAAACCCCUACCACUACAGUGACCGUUUAAUAUACCACCAAACCCAUAAAAUUUUUAGUAGUAUAAUAUGGAGAAUAAAAUUUAAUCCAGUCUACCGAGACCAAUCCAAAACUGUUCAUAUAUUUCAUGCCAACCCCAAAAAUUUAGCCAUCAUGCUACCAUAGUGUCAUAAGCCACAAUUUCAAUAACAUAUAAAAUCAUAAAUUCAACACAAUCUCCAUAUACUUAAUUUUCCCAAAACAAUAUUUGAUUUUAAAAUCAAUAUAAAUCUCAUUUUUAUUAAAAAAAAUUUAAUUGGAAAAUAUAAUAUUUUAUAAUUUAAACUCACCAUUCAAUAAAAGCAUCAAACAAGUAUAAUUACUCUAGAUAUUUAAGAUGAUAAAUUGUCCACUCACAGUUCUAGGAGUCGAUGUACUCCUAAUCCCAGUCUUUAAGCACAAUCUCUGUACUUUUACCAGUGUAAUUUGCUCACCACCUAUCCACAAUGUAUAAUACAUAAUUUACCACAUUAAUGCUUGACCAUUAUAAAAUCAAUUCAGGCCCGGGGUAUAUGUAUGAUAUGAUAUGUAACUUAUCCGACUACCGCUUAAAUGCGGUGCUAACCUAAUUCGACCUAUUACCCGAUUAAAUGACAAUUGUGUCCGAUUUUGCUCCAAAUUGCUCCAUUUCAUUUCUAAUAUUUCAAUUCACUAAAUACAAUUCCAAUAAUCUAAAAUUCAGCCUAACAACCCUCACAAUUCUUCUUGAAAAAUUCGGCCAUUGUGGUGCACUAUCACUAAAAAUUUUCUGAUUCCAUUUUCUCAUCAUAAAUCAUCAUUUCAUCAAUUUUUCAACCAAUUCACUUGAUCACAAAAUUAAUUCAUUACUUCUACACUUCACAUAGGGUUCGGCCAUUGAAGGUUCAUGGGGAAAAUGGAUUCUUUUCUUAUUGUUUUGUUUCUAAACAUGCUUAAGUAACUCUAAACACCAACAUAACUCAAAAUAAAACAAUUCCAACAUCAUUUCUCUCACCAAACCCAUUCGGCUAGCCAUGAUUUCCCCAUGAAAACAUACAAUCCAACCAUGGAAAUUGAGGAGAAAUGCAUGGGCAAGGUAAAUCACUAGCAAAAUCAAAGAAAUUUUACCUUUGCUUGAUCAAAUCUUUAAAUUCCAACACUUUCUCUUUGAUUUUCCCCACCUAGGGUUUGUUCUCCCUUGAUUUCUCUUCUCUUCUGGUUUGGCC
RNAcentral lists this long non-coding RNA (1801 nucleotides) under Theobroma cacao (cacao). Its description in RNAcentral is "long non-coding RNA (TCAC_LNC002580)". Lineage: Eukaryota; Viridiplantae; Streptophyta; Magnoliopsida; Malvales; Malvaceae. The record is from RNAcentral.